RNAcentral lists this ribosomal RNA (711 nucleotides) under Micrococcus sp. KLBMP 1302. RNAcentral's name for it is "bacterial SSU rRNA". It matches the Rfam family "Bacterial small subunit ribosomal RNA", at positions 77 to 802 of the family's 1533-position model. The record is from RNAcentral. Lineage: Bacteria; Bacillati; Actinomycetota; Actinomycetes; Micrococcales; Micrococcaceae.
AGCUUGCUGGGUGGAUUAGUGGCGAACGGGUGAGUAACACGUGAGUAACCUGCCCUUAACUCUGGGAUAAGCCUGGGAAACUGGGUCUAAUACCGGAUAGGAGCGCCUACCGCAUGGUGGGUGUUGGAAAGAUUUAUCGGUUUUGGAUGGACUCGCGGCCUAUCAGCUUGUUGGUGAGGUAAUGGCUCACCAAGGCGACGACGGGUAGCCGGCCUGAGAGGGUGACCGGCCACACUGGGACUGAGACACGGCCCAGACUCCUACGGGAGGCAGCAGUGGGGAAUAUUGCACAAUGGGCGCAAGCCUGAUGCAGCGACGCCGCGUGAGGGAUGACGGCCUUCGGGUUGUAAACCUCUUUCAGUAGGGAAGAAGCGAAAGUGACGGUACCUGCAGAAGAAGCACCGGCUAACUACGUGCCAGCAGCCGCGGUAAUACGUAGGGUGCGAGCGUUAUCCGGAAUUAUUGGGCGUAAAGAGCUCGUAGGCGGUUUGUCGCGUCUGUCGUGAAAGUCCGGGGCUUAACCCCGGAUCUGCGGUGGGUACGGGCAGACUAGAGUGCAGUAGGGGAGACUGGAAUUCCUGGUGUAGCGGUGGAAUGCGCAGAUAUCAGGAGGAACACCGAUGGCGAAGGCAGGUCUCUGGGCUGUAACUGACGCUGAGGAGCGAAAGCAUGGGGAGCGAACAGGAUUAGAUACCCUGGUAGUCCAUGCCG